Molecule: ribosomal RNA, 415 nt
Filed under: uncultured microorganism
Description: bacterial SSU rRNA
Rfam family: Bacterial small subunit ribosomal RNA
Source: RNAcentral
GAGUUUGAUCCUGGCUCAGAUUGAACGCUGGCGGCAUGCCUUACACAUGCAAGUCGAACGGCAGCAUGAUCUAGCUUGCUAGAUUGAUGGCGAGUGGCGAACGGGUGAGUAAUACAUCGGAGCGUGCCCUGUAGUGGGGAUAACUAGUCGAAAGAUUAGCUAAUACCGCAUACGACCUGAGGGUGAAAGUGGGGACCGCAAGGCCUCAUGCUAUAGGAGCGGCCGAUGUCUGAUUAGCUAGUUGGUGGGGUAAAGGCCCACCAAGGCGACGAUCAGUAGCUGGUCUGAGAGGACGAUCAGCCACACUGGGACUGAGACACGGCCCAGACUCCUACGGGAGGCAGCAGUGGGGAAUUUUGGACAAUGGGCGAAAGCCUGAUCCAGCAAUGCCGCGUGUGUGAAGAAGGCCUCGGUU